Molecule: ribosomal RNA, 788 nt
Filed under: uncultured bacterium
Lineage: Bacteria
Description: bacterial SSU rRNA
Rfam family: Bacterial small subunit ribosomal RNA
Source: RNAcentral
AGAGUUUGAUCAUGGCUCAGGAUGAACGCUGGCGGCGUGCCUAACACAUGCAAGUCGAACGAAGCACAUUGGAUUGAUUCUUCGGAAGAAAGAGAAUGUGACUGAGUGGCGGACGGGUGAGUAACGCGUGGGUAACCUGCCUCAUACAGGGGGAUAACAGUUAGAAAUGACUGCUAAUACCGCAUAAGACCACGGAGUCGCAUGACUCAGUGGGAAAAACUCCGGUGGUAUGAGAUGGACCCGCGUCUGAUUAGGUAGUUGGUGGGGUAACGGCCUACCAAGCCGACGAUCAGUAGCCGACCUGAGAGGGUGACCGGCCACAUUGGGACUGAGACACGGCCCAAACUCCUACGGGAGGCAGCAGUGGGGAAUAUUGCACAAUGGGGGAAACCCUGAUGCAGCGACGCCGCGUGAGCGAAGAAGUAUUUCGGUAUGUAAAGCUCUAUCAGCAGGGAAGAAAAUGACGGUACCUGACUAAGAAGCACCGGCUAAAUACGUGCCAGCAGCCGCGGUAAUACGUAUGGUGCAAGCGUUAUCCGGAUUUACUGGGUGUAAAGGGAGCGUAGACGGCUGUGUAAGUCUGAAGUGAAAGCCCGUGGCUCAACCCCGGGACUGCUUUGGAAACUAUGCAGCUAGAGUGUCGGAGAGGUAAGUGGAAUUCCCAGUGUAGCGGUGAAAUGCGUAGAUAUUGGGAGGAACACCAGUGGCGAAGGCGGCUUACUGGACGAUGACUGACGUUGAGGCUCGAAAGCGUGGGGAGCAAACAGGAUUAGAUACCCUGGUAGUCC